RNAcentral lists this unclassified non-coding RNA (226 nucleotides) under Hevea brasiliensis (rubber tree). Lineage: Eukaryota; Viridiplantae; Streptophyta; Magnoliopsida; Malpighiales; Euphorbiaceae. The record is from RNAcentral.
AGAACACCAAUGCAUCCUCUUCCACUUUCAGUGAGAAAACUGAAAAGCCCCAUUGUUCCACCACCUCUAGGAAAGCUUUCUACCCUUAGCCAACAAGUAAAAGAGAACCCCUUAUUCAAUGGCCACUGAACUGGAGUCUUAAUCGAAAUUCCCGAUUCCACCCCAUUGAGAUCAAAGAAGGCAGUUGGUCCCUUCUCGUUGAGCAUUGACAGCAUGCUGGUCAAAA